CCAAUAGCGUAUAUUAAAGUUGCUGCAGUUAAAAAGCUCGUAGUUGAAUUUCGGGAUCGAUAUAUCGGUCGUGCCUCGGUACGUACUGGUAUUUUCGGUUUCUACCUUCUGACGAACCUUGAUGUCAUUAAUUUGGUGUCUUGGGGAAUCAGGACUGUUACUUUGAAAAAAUUAGAGUGUUUAAAGCAGGCUCACGCUUGAAUACAUUAGCAUGGAAUAAUGAAAUAGGACGUUUGAUUCUAUUUUGUUGGUUUCUAGGAUCGACGUAAUGAUUAAUAGGGAUAGUUGGGGGCAUUAGUAUUCAAUUGUCAGAGGUGAAAUUCUUGGAUUUAUUGAAGACUAACUACUGCGAAAGCAUUUGCCAAGGAUGUUUUCAUUAAUCAAGAACGAAAGUUAGGGGAUCGAAGACGAUCAGAUACCGUCGUAGUCUUAACCAUAAACUAUGCCGACUAGGGAUCGGAUGAUGUUAAUUUUUUAAUGACUCAUUCGGCGCCUUACG
Molecule: ribosomal RNA, 499 nt
Filed under: uncultured Glomeromycotina
Lineage: Eukaryota; Fungi; Glomeromycota
Description: partial small subunit ribosomal RNA
Rfam family: Eukaryotic small subunit ribosomal RNA
Source: RNAcentral